ACAGAAGGCUGUGUGUACCUGUAGGCCCAGUUACUCAGAAGGCUGAUGCGGGAGGAUCGCUUGAGUCCAGGCAUUCUGGGCUGGAAUGUGCUAUGCAGAUUCGGUGUCUGUACUAAGUUCAGUACCAAUGAAUUCCUGGGAGCAGGGGUCACCCAGUCACCCAGGUUAAGGAGGGGUGCACUGGCCCAGGUUGGAAGCAGAACAGGUCAAACUCCUGUGCUGAUCAAUAGUGGGAUUGUGCCUGUGAAUAACCGCUAUAACCACCGUCCCCCAGACUGCACAACACAGUGAAAAUU
This 296-nucleotide signal recognition particle RNA is filed under the name Piliocolobus tephrosceles (Ugandan red Colobus). RNAcentral describes it as "Metazoan signal recognition particle RNA (ENSPTEG00000034474.1)". It matches the Rfam family "Metazoan signal recognition particle RNA". From Rfam's summary of the family: The signal recognition particle (SRP) is a universally conserved ribonucleoprotein. The record is from RNAcentral. Lineage: Eukaryota; Metazoa; Chordata; Mammalia; Primates; Cercopithecidae.